This 1528-nucleotide ribosomal RNA is filed under the name human gut metagenome. RNAcentral describes it as "bacterial SSU rRNA". It matches the Rfam family "Bacterial small subunit ribosomal RNA". The record is from RNAcentral.
AGAGUUUGAUCCUGGCUCAGGACGAACGCUGGCGGCGUGCCUAAUACAUGCAAGUAGAACGCUGAAGAGAGGAGCUUGCUCUUCUUGGAUGAGUUGCGAACGGGUGAGUAACGCGUAGGUAACCUGCCUUGUAGCGGGGGAUAACUAUUGGAAACGAUAGCUAAUACCGCAUAACAAUGGAUGACACAUGUCAUUUAUUUGAAAGGGGCAAUUGCUCCACUACAAGAUGGACCUGCGUUGUAUUAGCUAGUAGGUGAGGUAACGGCUCACCUAGGCGACGAUACAUAGCCGACCUGAGAGGGUGAUCGGCCACACUGGGACUGAGACACGGCCCAGACUCCUACGGGAGGCAGGAGUAGGGAAUCUUCGGCAAUGGGGGCAACCCUGACCGAGCAACGCCGCGUGAGUGAAGAAGGUUUUCGGAUCGUAAAGCUCUGUUGUAAGUCAAGAACGGGUGUGAGAGUGGAAAGUUCACACUGUGACGGUAGCUUACCAGAAAGGGACGGCUAACUACGUGCCAGCAGCCGCGGUAAUACGUAGGUCCCGAGCGUUGUCCGGAUUUAUUGGGCGUAAAGCGAGCGCAGGCGGUUUGAUAAGUCUGAAGUUAAAGGCUGUGGCUCAACCAUAGUUCGCUUUGGAAACUGUCAAACUUGAGUGCAGAAGGGGAGAGUGGAAUUCCAUGUGUAGCGGUGAAAUGCGUAGAUAUAUGGAGGAACACCGGUGGCGAAAGCGGCUCUCUGGUCUGUAACUGACGCUGAGGCUCGAAAGCGUGGGGAGCGAACAGGAUUAGAUACCCUGGUAGUCCACGCCGUAAACGAUGAGUGCUAGGUGUUGGAUCCUUUCCGGGAUUCAGUGCCGCAGCUAACGCAUUAAGCACUCCGCCUGGGGAGUACGACCGCAAGGUUGAAACUCAAAGGAAUUGACGGGGGCCCGCACAAGCGGUGGAGCAUGUGGUUUAAUUCGAAGCAACGCGAAGAACCUUACCAGGUCUUGACAUCCCGAUGCUAUUUCUAGAGAUAGAAAGUUACUUCGGUACAUCGGUGACAGGUGGUGCAUGGUUGUCGUCAGCUCGUGUCGUGAGAUGUUGGGUUAAGUCCCGCAACGAGCGCAACCCCUAUUGUUAGUUGCCAUCAUUCAGUUGGGCACUCUAGCGAGACUGCCGGUAAUAAACCGGAGGAAGGUGGGGAUGACGUCAAAUCAUCAUGCCCCUUAUGACCUGGGCUACACACGUGCUACAAUGGUUGGUACAACGAGUUGCGAGUCGGUGACGGCAAGCUAAUCUCUUAAAGCCAAUCUCAGUUCGGAUUGUAGGCUGCAACUCGCCUACAUGAAGUCGGAAUCGCUAGUAAUCGCGGAUCAGCACGCCGCGGUGAAUACGUUCCCGGGCCUUGUACACACCGCCCGUCACACCACGAGAGUUUGUAACACCCGAAGUCGGUGAGGUAACCUUUUGGAGCCAGCCGCCUAAGGUGGGAUAGAUGAUUGGGGUGAAGUCGUAACAAGGUAGCCGUAUCGGAAGGUGCGGCUG